RNAcentral lists this non-coding RNA (21 nucleotides) under Caenorhabditis elegans. Lineage: Eukaryota; Metazoa; Nematoda; Chromadorea; Rhabditida; Rhabditidae. The record is from RNAcentral.
UAGGGAAUCUGGAAUGGAAAU